RNAcentral lists this ribosomal RNA (481 nucleotides) under uncultured bacterium. RNAcentral describes it as "partial 16S ribosomal RNA". It matches the Rfam family "Bacterial small subunit ribosomal RNA", at positions 28 to 507 of the family's 1533-position model. The record is from RNAcentral.
GACGAACGCUGGCGGCGCGCUUAACACAUGCAAGUCGAGCGAUGAAAUCUUAACAGAACCCUUCGGGGUGAAGAUAAGACGGAUUAGCGGCGGACGGGUGAGUAACACGUGAGUAACCUGCCUUUACACAGGGAUAGCCUCAGGCAACCGGGAUUAAAACCUGAUGCAACUAUCAAAUCACAUGAUUAAGAAAGUUAAAACUCCGGUGGUAAAAGAUGGACUCGCGUCCCAUUAGCUAGUUGGUGAAGUUAACGGCCCACCAAGGCAACGAUGGGUAGCCGGCCUGAGAGGGUGAACGGCCACAUUGGAACUGAGAAACGGUCCAAACUCCUACGGGAGGCAGCAGUGGGGAAUAUUGCACAAUGGGGGAAACCCUGAUGCAGCGACGCCGGGUGAGAGAAGAAGGCCUUCGGGUCAUAAAGCUCUUUUAUAUGGGAAGAUAAUGACGGUACCAGAAGAAAAAGCCCCGGCUAACUACGUG